UGCCUCAGCCUCCCAAGUAGCUGGGACUACAGGUGUUCAACACCAGACCUCUGGCUAGAAUUUACAUUUUAAUAAGUUCCUGCUGUGACUUAAAUGCACAUUAAAGAUUGAGAAGCCAUGCAUUAGUGGAUUUGAUGAAGCAAACACAUUUUGAGUUUCUCAGCUGAACCAAAGGAAAUCAAGAAAUCUCUUGAAAUCAAGGAAAUCAAGGAAUCAAUUACUUACAUCAAGCUGAGCAAGAGACAACUUGAAGACAGAGGUAGCAGUAAUCAGCCAGGAUUUCCAAGGAAACCUGGUGGUACUGAGGCAGGAGACAGAACUCAACGCUGGAGGCAGAGCUUGGACACCGGACCAAAUUGAGGACUAGCUGAAACAGGUUUGGAGCAGAAGCACCUCCCCAUAAGACAUGCCCACCAGUGUGCCAUGUCAGUUUACCAUUGCCAUGGCAACACCCUGAAGUUAUGGCCCCUUUCUGUGGCAAUGACCUGACAACCUGGAGGAUACCACCCUCAUUCUAGAAAUUUCUGCAUAAACUGCCCAUUAAGUUGCAUAUAGUUAAAAGUGGGUAUAGGGCAAGAUGCAGUGGCUCAUGCCUAGAAUCCCAGCACUUUGGGAGGCCAAGGUGGGUGGAUU
Molecule: non-coding RNA, 633 nt
Organism: Macaca mulatta (Rhesus monkey)
Lineage: Eukaryota; Metazoa; Chordata; Mammalia; Primates; Cercopithecidae
Source: RefSeq, a predicted model, not a curated record